AAAACAUCGGCACAUGUGUAUCAAGAUACCAUUCUUGAGAAGGUAGUAAAGCCAACAACAGCAUGUUCAAUAAAAAAUAAUGGUCUUUCCAGCCAGACUCGGCGCCGGGUCAUAAAGCUUGGUCUUGGUUGGAAACGAACGUUUCGGACUUCAUCAGUGCUGAAGACUGGCCGUCGUCUAGUCCCGAUCUUAUGAUGAUUAUGAUUCAUGACAGACCUGGAACUUUUGCACAAAAAGUAUCGUGAUAACCGCUGUUCCACGGCAACUGUGGUGACAGUGGCGAAAUAUCUAUAUACAUCUAGUAUGGGGUUUGUUAGGAUAUUUUCGUUACGGAAUUUCUGGAUUCGGUCUCCACGCUCAAGGCCCGCGAUAGAAGCUAUGCAAUAGCUUAAAAAUGAAUAUUAAUUAAAUAUAUUGAAUUGAAAAUAUUAAAAUAUUUAAAGAAAA
Molecule: long non-coding RNA, 447 nt
Organism: Leptidea sinapis
Lineage: Eukaryota; Metazoa; Arthropoda; Insecta; Lepidoptera; Pieridae
Exons: 2
Source: RefSeq, a predicted model, not a curated record